RNAcentral lists this ribosomal RNA (587 nucleotides) under uncultured Delftia sp. RNAcentral's name for it is "bacterial SSU rRNA". It matches the Rfam family "Bacterial small subunit ribosomal RNA", at positions 338 to 918 of the family's 1533-position model. The record is from RNAcentral. Lineage: Bacteria; Pseudomonadati; Pseudomonadota; Betaproteobacteria; Burkholderiales; Comamonadaceae.
CCUACGGGAGGCAGCAGUGGGGAAUUUUGGACAAUGGGCGAAAGCCUGAUCCAGCAAUGCCGCGUGCAGGAUGAAGGCCUUCGGGUUGUAAACUGCUUUUGUACGGAACGAAAAAGCUCCUCCUAAUACGAGAGGCCCAUGACGGUACCGUAAGAAUAAGCACCGGCUAACUACGUGCCAGCAGCCGCGGUAAUACGUAGGGUGCGAGCGUUAAUCGGAAUUACUGGGCGUAAAGCGUGCGCAGGCGGUUAUGUAAGACAGAUGUGAAAUCCCCGGGCUCAACCUGGGAACUGCAUUUGUGACUGCAUGGCUAGAGUACGGUAGAGGGGGAUGGAAUUCCGCGUGUAGCAGUGAAAUGCGUAGAUAUGCGGAGGAACACCGAUGGCGAAGGCAAUCCCCUGGACCUGUACUGACGCUCAUGCACGAAAGCGUGGGGAGCAAACAGGAUUAGAUACCUUGGUAGUCCACGCCCUAAACGAUGUCAACUGGUUGUUGGGAAUUAGUUUUCUCAGUAACGAAGCUAACGCGUGAAGUUGACCGCCUGGGGGGUACGGCCGCAAGGUUGAAACUCAAAUGAAUUGACGGGG